ACUAAAGAAUGUACAUGAUGAUGAAGUACAAGUUGGUGCCAGUCUCUAUCAUCUUUUUCCAUCAAAAACCUUGUAGGGACUGGGCGCCCCGAGAUGAAUGAAAAAAGAGGAAGCGAUAAAGAAACAUGUUACGUGCGGAUGAGAGUCU
This is a non-coding RNA of Caenorhabditis elegans, 148 nucleotides long. NCBI's taxonomy places the organism in Eukaryota, Metazoa, Nematoda, Chromadorea, Rhabditida, Rhabditidae. The record is from Ensembl.